UGACACCAGGGCUGAAUCACCCAUGUGGUUGCAGCCAGAAAAAACUUUUAGAAGGAAGGAGGGGAGGGAAAGAAAGAAAAGCAAAAAAAAAAUUAAAGCACCUUGCAAGAAAAAACAAAACCCACCCUCGGCUCCCCAUCUGCGGGCUUUUGAUGCAGGGAAGUUUGUUAAGGAGUUCACCCGCGGUGCACGGGGAGGGGGGUCUGCACACUCCAUUUACCCCGCAUUAGGCAGAGGGGGGCAGGACUUUUCUCCCUUUUGUCAGCCUUUGAAUGCAGCUCGUGACAUCAUGGGCUGAGUUGGCUUGCUUGGCUGCAACUUUUUUGCACAAGUCCUCCGAUGUCCGUGCAGCAGGCACCCGGAUCCCUGCCCUCCCCCACUCCCUCGCUGCGUCCCAGGGAAGCCGGGCAGGGAGGUAACUUGGAGCCUCCGCAGGGGGAGGCGCGCACAGCCCGGCAGAGGCGUAGCUCUGGUCCUUUCAGGACAGCCAACGAGGCCAGAGCAAACCUGACCUGAGCUUUUGCAGAAUGACUCUCCUUGCUUCCCAACCAUGUGCAAGUACAUUGCAAGGCCUGUGGGUUGGGGUUUUUUUUUUUGUAUUGAAUUAUGAUUCUUUUGCUUUGCGCGAGAUUGAGUUUACAGGAUCGGUAGUAACGCUGGUUUUUUAGGGUUUUUUUUUUUUUUGAAUGAGUCUCCCUUAUGGACACUAGCUGUGUGUUUGUUUUGGUUGGGACCCACCCCUCAAGCAGAUCUGCUCCAGCAAAGCAGAGAGCAGCUCAGCUUUGCAAGCGACUGAACACCACUGUAGCCUUUUUUUUAUUUCCUUUUUUUUAAAAGGCGAUCAGAUAACAAGCGAGGGAGCAGAAGCAAGGCCCUCUCCUCUCGCUCCGACUCUGAGCCGGGUGGAGGGGUGCGGGUGCCUGCAGCCCUCCCUCCGCCCGGGCGGGGAGGCGGCAACAGAUGGUUUUGCAAUCCCGUCAGCUUUGAUUUCCCAGUUGCUGCGGGUCGUGGGGAGGGGGGUUUUGGCGGGACGAGGGAGGGGCACGUGGAUGCCCGAGUGCAGCAAAGAUCAACACGUAGUUAUCGGGGGCUGGCAUCAGGAAAGUAGUACGUUUGCAAAAAAAGCAACUGAAAAAGAGAUGGACCGUGCAGGUCCCGGGUGGAAGUCCAUACUGAGGUGGAAAUGCGAGCCUCUUGGUUUCUUCUGCCUAUUUCCACUCGUCCUCUGUCGCCUCCGCCUCCUCCCCCUCCUCCUUACAGUAAGAGUUGCCCACUCCAGCCUCUCAGAUGUUGAUUCCACAACACUCUCGGCGACUCCAUCUGUUAUGAAACAGCCAAGUGCAUUUUUCCAUAGCAGGAUAAUUAGGUCACCUAAUUACGGCCACGUUUCUUCGGAAAGGCAAAAAGAUCGCGAAACCAUCUGACUUCCCGGCCCCGACGCGUUUGCAAAGACAUGUUGCGUUGUCUCGCAGCCGGCCCCCCGGCCCUGCGCGCUGGCGGCGGGCGAGGAGGGUUCAGCGCCCCGCGGCGUUUCACAACCCCGAGACGUCUUGCUCUCCGGCUCGGCUCGGCCUGGCCCCGGCUGCCUGGGAUGUGUCUCCUUUGAUUUCAACUGAUUGAGCCCAUUUUUUCACAGUGCUGCCUUUGCAUUUUUGCAGCCUGACUGUCUUCGUGCUGAUUCACAUUUCCACCCCCCCUUGCACUUAGUUACUACUUUUUUCCAAUUUUGAUUGAAACCUGGCAGGCUGCGCUAAAGGAAAUAACUCGCAUCCACAUUAACUUAAAUCACUAAAAUAUGUUUUUUAGGCCUUUAAAGCAGCAGUUGAUAGUGGCUGCCUCUACUCCCCCCACCCCCCCACUUCCAGUUCCCCAAAGGGACCAUUGCAGGCCAUUGAAAUCAGAACUAAAAAGAAAGAAAGUAAAGUUUCUUAGCAAAUAAUCCGUUCCAGAUUUUAGCACACAAAACCUGAUGCCUGCUGAUACUUAGAGGGUGAGGAGACAGUUUCUUUUUAACAACCGUCAACGUUUCAAGGCUUUUGAUAUGAGACCGCUUCAGUGUGAAAUUUGCUGGGCCAAAACCAGCAGCCCUUACUCGGGCAAAGCUCUUACUAAAGUCAGUGGGAGUUUUGGCAAAGGAAGGUCACUGGAAUUUGGUCCCUUGUCAUUAACUCAUCCAGGCUGAGCCAAUAGGCCCCUCCUUGAAAUGCCUCUCACUAUAGCACUGAAAAUCCUUCUCCCUUCCCCCUUAGCCCAGACUCCGAAAGAGAACUGAAACCCAGAGUCCAGAACGGAAAGCCAGCUAAGAGAGAUCACAUUUAACGCUUCAAACAAAUGAUCCCUAUUCCCACUUCCUCUUCUGUUUGCUUCAGCCUCAUGAACUGGGCUUUCAGCUCGUCUCCCUGGCUGCUGAUCUCUUCCCCCCUCCUUCCAUCUUCAAGAACAGCCAAAAUAACCAAACGAGAGCAACGCCUACAGACUGUCCAUUCCAGGUUUCUUUUUUUUUUAAUUAUUAUUAUUUACUUAAGGAUAGAAAACUGGUUCCUCGAAUUUCCGUCUCUAGAUUCAUUUUUUUCCCUGCUUGUUGGCAGAAGGAAGAAGCAACCAGGAGAGAGCGAGCAGCUUAAGCGUGUUAUUUUCUGCAGUUGUUUACUGGUUCCGUGGAUGGUGCAUGUUCCCAGGGCUCCUCGCCUCUCUCUAUAAUUAAACCCUUUUUAAUUGUUAGGUUGAGAACGUCAUUUCAGGGACUUUCCAAAGGUUACGGAGUCCAAAGCAGGAAGCCAGCACAUAACUGUUUCACUACUGAGUUGCUGCGAGCCUGGGUUUGCACUCUGCAGCUCAGAGCAGUCAAGUCUCAGGGGGCUGGGGAGCGCAGGCCUCGUUCUGCAUUCCAUAACACUACAGACACUCAAGUGCGAGCUUUGGGUGUGGAGAGCUUGCAGGACUGGGCUCUCAAUCGCAUUCCCCAAAGCAAGCAACUAACCCCUUGCAUACAUGCUGCAGUUAUCGGCCUCUUGUGGGCUAAGAUCAAGCGUAUCUGAGGAUUUACAUAGAAUAGAUGCAGUAGGCCAUGUACACAUUUGUUUUGGGAAUCACAGCUAUAUGUUUUCCAGCUUCUGUGCAUCCUGGGCCAAGUGCUGUUCCUACAGAAGUCCGGUUAGUAUUUUGCCAUUGUUCAGGUCUGAUUUUGGCUGGUCAGAACCUGACUGUAGGGUAGUAUUUAACUGUUUGCACACUCAAACCACACAUUCAUGGCUGAAAGUCAGGCUUCUCUGGGCUUAACUGGGAGUUUGUAUGUGCACCUACACACACCUGCUGGGAAGAGGAGGAAUCCAGCCCUUCUGCUCUCAAGAGCAGUGUUGCAAGAACAUUUUUUGCACUGAUUUUCCUUGUGGUUUUGACAAUAAAACAGUUUCUAGCCACGGAACACUUGAGUAAAUGUGUGGGGUUUGUUUAUUUGAAUAUAAAGUCAUGCUUCCUGAGGUAUGUACAGUAGAUCUGUGGAGCAGUUCACCCUUCAUAUUAUUUUGCAGUCUGGAAGGUACAAAUGAAGUUAUGAGCUAGUAAUAAGGCUCCCAGAUUGCUUGAGACUCUUGCAAGGUCACCUAUUGAUUUUUACUGUAGGUUCAGCUGGACUGCCUUGGUCACCUGAUUCAGGCAGAGGCCAGUGACCCACCUUAGCUCUUUACAGGCCAAGCUCCCGCCAACUGCAUCGCCAUUUAAACAUGGAAAGGAAUAAGUGCUGUAGUCAAUCUGCAGGCACAUUUAACAUUGGAACAUAGGAAUUACCAUACUGCAUCAGACCUCCAAUUCAUCUCGUCUAAUAUUUUGUUUCUGAGAGUGGCUUAUACAAGAAGGUCCAGAGGAAAGUACAAAAAUAUAUCAGGCAGUCUGGUUCCUUCCUUCUCUGCUGCCUCUCCUAAUCUCUCAAUUUACAGUGGAAUCAGAAGGGAUCAGCCAGGUUUGAUGGCCUUUCUCUUGUAUCACUGUUACCUUCUCAUGAAGCCACAGGACAUCAGUGGGAUUUUUAUUGGUUUCUUUGAGAGCAGGAUAAUGCUCAUGACUGUUCCUUUCAAAUCUUGUGUGCUUCCUUUAGAUUGCCACGUGUAGCCUGCAGCUUGCAAAAUUGGAAUUGGUUGCACCUGAAACUCUCUUUGGGCCAAACUGGGACAUUGAAGCUGUAUAUAUUAUUUCUUAACCAACAAUCAUCACAUAUCCACGUUUGCCUCAGAUAGGCCCACAUGAGCCUCGCAUGCCACAUGAGCUUCACAUGCCUGUGCUUUGCAGAAGGAUACAAAACAAUGACACAAAGAUAUAUAUGGAGAACGCUUCAGCCAGUUUUAGUCCCAAUGACUGUAAUGAGAGUUUAGUGUAAAGUACAAGUUUGAACCAAAUAAAGACUCCAGAUUUUGGCACUAACCUCGUCCCUGAUCUUCUUAUUCCUAUAACUGGGAAGAGAUUUGGUUCUCUAAAGGAACCUCAUAAUUGCCAGAGGUACUGUUUUUUCACUUUGGACCUAGGGUCAGUGGUAACCUUGAAGGUUUGAGUUAUAGGAAAGCAGGAGGCCCCCCAAAAUAUCUGAACAGGUAAAAAAAAAAAAUCAGUUUCUUUCAUGGUCCAGUGUCUCAACCACUGAAUGGAAACAUUAUUAAACUGUGAAAAACGUCUUUCCCCUUUGGUUUGAGAAUGAGCUAGACCUUUCAGCCCCAAAGGGUCACUUUUUCCAGGAAGAUAUAUUGGGUGCUUCUUGGAUAAUGAAUGUGCCUUUUCUGUCCUCGUGCACUAAUAUAAACAGAGUUCAGUCAUGGGGAUAACCUUUCUAUAUUUAUUUCAGCUGGUAAGAAAAGCAGGUCAGGGCUCUUUGAAUCCAGUUCCCUGGAGUAUUAACAUCUGCUGGAUUUUGGGGCUAUUUUUGCACUGGGGUUUUUGUGGGUAGGUAGAGGUGCAUUUCUUUUCAUCCCUCAAGCCCAAAGCAUCUUAGCGCUCUCAUUCCCCUCUCCCCCUUUGCUUCCACAAAUCCUUUAGCAACCUUUAUAGGUACUCUUGGGUUCUUGUGUGGGGGUGGAGGCAGGCAUGCAAUGUGUCCCUUUAUAAUGUGCCCUUAAGGAGUUUUUGUUUCUGUUAAUCCCAUCUUUUAUUUUGGUCCUGUGUUCCUUCUAUGUAACUCAAUGUAUCUGCUGGGAGAUGGAGUGGCCCAAGUUGUAAACUACAGCUUUGAGAUGCAUCCUCUGCCAGGCACUAUCUGCACCUUGGGAAAGUGCUUGCCCUUCUGGUUAAAAGCAAAAAAGGUGCAUUAGCAGCUGCUUGGUAAGAAAACAAACUCCUAAAGAUACAGGAAAGUGUGUCAAGGUGGUGGGAAGGAAAGGGAGUGAGAUUCCUGGCAGCUUGGGUGUGUAAACAUUUGUAAAAUGGAGAGUGUGUGUAUGUGUGUACUUUGUGGUGGCAGGAAACCCAAGUAGCCAACACCAUUAUUUUUGCAGGAGUUGGUAGAUACAGUACCAGACAAAUAUCAUGAGCCCUUAAUCCUCCUGGAUUUACACCUGUGUAUAAUAUGAAAAAUCAUCCAGAAGGAGAUCUAUUACACAACACCUUUACUAAAUAACUCCUGAUUUUGGGACCUCAGUUUGUCGUCUGUAGGGUGGUAUCACUGUUUCUGGGUAGCUCAGACACUUGACCCCAGUUGAUGGGGAAGAAGACACAAGCUACAGAAAGAAUUUGGUCCCUUGGGAGAGGAUAUAAAAUAUUUGCAUCAUCUGUGACAAAUUUAGCACUGGUGGCACUGACAAGAUAUUGCAGUGGAAAAUAUAGAGGUGUAAUUUUGGCAGACUAUAAGGUAAGAAAAUUGGCUGCACUUAAUGGACCUGACAUAAUUUCCAGUGGAAAUACUAAUGCAGUUAAUGCAUUUCCACAUGGACACUGAGACCAUACUUACACUCUUUCUAUUUUUAAUCCUUUGAUAGCUGAGGUAUUGCUACUGGAUGCCCCUGAAUGUAGCCCUGCAGUGGGAUCUAACCACAAAAAAGUUGAGCAUGUGUGUGGGAGGAGGUUUGCAGGUAUGAACCAUGCAACAGCAGGAAAGUAGUGGGUGACACAAGAAAAGUAUUUAAAUCUGUGUCUAGAACCACUGCUGCCCAUCUGUGCAAAAUAAGUCGGCUCCAGAUGUAAACUUACCCUGACUACAUCUCAGCUCUUACGCAUCUCCUUGCAACAGGCUGUUGGCUCCUUUAACCUUUUGCAAGUUUUGUGCCUUUUACUAUACUGCCCCCUCUAGUCCAGAUCCCUCACUGUCAGGCACUCUUGCCUAGUUGUUUACUUCAGUUCAAUGUCCAUGUAAAUACAUGCGUCUUGACUGGGCAGUAUUUUACACAUACUCUGCACGGGUUUCAGUUCAUUAUUGAGCAGUGGUUCUCAACCUUUUUUGACUCAAGGCAUCCCCUUCAUUAGAGUCCGAAAAUGCUAACUUCGUUUACACUCUUUUUGGGACUACAGAGAAGUAAUCAAGCAAAUUUUUCUGUUGCAGAGAACUCAGACUACAACAGAUCAAAAGAAGCAACAGCAGCUCAAAGAAAGAACCACAGUAAAACCUCCAGGAGCAAGGAAGUGGUACCAGCUGCAAAUUAAAACAGAAAUUGCAUACCAAGAUGGAGGGCAGGCCAGAAAGCAGGCAGGUCUUGAUGAAAUGCAGCUGGGAGUUUAAAGACAAUUCAUGGGAGUUGAGUAACAAGCACUGAUGAAUCAUAAGAGUCAGGAGAAGCUGCUAAUGUGUGGGAAAAAGGCAAAUGUGCUUACCUGUGCCCAAGCAUAUAAUAAGGAAGUAUGUAAUAAUAAUUAUUGUUAUUGUAAGAAGGGCUGUGUGAGUAUUUGGGAAAAAGAUAUCUAAUAACUGACAAACAACGUGGCUCGGUUUGUUUUGAUCUGUGAGUCAAACAAUGGUUAUGUUUGUAAGGCAGUAAUACACAGAGCACAGAACACUGGCAUGGCACCAACUAUUCAGGUUUAUAUAGGUCAUGCUAAACAAAUAAUAGUUUUCUUCAAAAUAAUUACUGAUUCAUUAAGUAAAGGUAAAAUAGUAGAAAGAGUCUAUUUAGGUUUGAGUGAGGUGCUAGAUAAAGGAAAUAUAUACAUUUAGAUUGGGAGUUUUGAAAGCAGCUGGCAUUAACCUAAGGCCAUGUCUACACAGUAAACUUACCAUGCUCCAGAGCAGUGCCCUCAAACACACAGAGCAGCUUCCAGCAAGCUGCCUCCUCAACUGGAAGCAGCAUAGUCAUAGGCAAGCAGUGCUAUAGGUAGGCAGGAUCAUUGGCAUAGGGCAGAGUCUGCCAGCCAGCGUGGCUAAUUAGCUCACCUAAAGUGCCACAUAGCAGUGCAGCCUACUUGAGGAGCCCGCUCCAGAGUAUGGUCUGGUUACAUGGCCUAAUUGCUCCCUCUUGAAGUCAAUGGGAAAAUCUCUACCAACUCCAAAGGGAGGGGCACAAGGCUGACAAUAAACACUUUGGAAAAAGCUACUAUUAAACUUUAAUAUUCACUUGUACUUACAUAGGGCUUUUAAUAAGAGUCUCUCAGAGCCCUUUAGAAGAUUGAAUGGGUAGACUGGGAAACCAGGCCACAAAGAGAUUAAAGGUUACAUUCAGUAAAGGAUGUAGGUGCUUAGAGUAGGAUUCAGGCAAAAGUCAAGAUUGUAUUUCUGAAACCCCAUUCAUCUGCCACCUACUUCAGGAGGUGCUUAAACUCCAUAAGUGCUUCAGUCUUUGCUCACAGAGUUCCCUAGGCACCUGCAGGUUCUGCUUUGGGCAGGUACCCAAUGACUGCUUCAUGUGAAAUACAGAAACAGGUUUUCCUGAGGGACAAGAAGCAGAACUCUCCCUUCCCAGCCAAGCAUCUCCUCACUCAGCUGCAGAUUCCUCCUCCUUGUGCUCUAAUGAAUCUUUAAUUUUUUUUCUGUGCAGUAUCUCAGGAGGGGACCCACCCCUGUCAGAAUAAGAGGAGGCGAGUAUGAACUUCCCUAGGCUGAGGUAGGAUUUAAACGUGGGUUUUCUUUGUCCUGAGUAAGUGGUCUGCCCACUGAGCUCCUGCAUUAGAGGGCGUGACACCACCAGCAUAUGUUCUUUAAAAGAAAAUGAGUGAGCCCUGGGCAGUUCUUUGAAAUACGAGGCAUAGGUAGUAGGUAUCCAUCUUCAGGGAGGGGUUUUGGGCUGGGGUUCGAACUGGAUGGAGUCAUCUCCUGCAGCACUCAGGUGCCUGAGCCCCAGGGAGGCGCAGGAUUCCAGAUGUACUGCUGUGCUCAUCAUGCCUGUUUCCUGGCUUUAGGUGCUUAAAUGCUAGGCAUGUGACUUCAAGCAGCUCCCUGUUCAACAUGCUGGCUGGUUUGGUCCCCCAUGCACUGCCUAACUAACAUAAGGUUUGGGAUUCCAUACUGGGGGACCUAAAAUGUAGGUAUUGCAGUACCAAAGGUGCCUGAGGCCUCUCAGAUCUGGCCUUAAGUGACUUGCCCAAGAUAAUAUAGCAGGUCAGUAACAGAGCCAAGAAGAAAAUCUCCAUUUCUGCCUCUUAGUCCCUUGCUGUGAGUAGCAUACCACUUGUCUCAACAAGGAAAAAGAAAUGGGCUUUCUGAAGGCUAUUCCUCUCUAAAUAUCAGAAGCACUAUCUUAUUAUAGAGAAGUUAGUAAAUAACUAUUUAUAAAGCACAGAAUAUGGAUUAAAAUGAGGUUUUCCAAUAGGAAGGAGCAACUGGCCACUAGACUAAACUCCCAAAGGAAAAUGGUAAUGGUGCUGUUGCUGCAUAGCCAUUCAAGAAGGUAUGAGAUAAGGACAUUGAUCCUGUUUCCAUUGAAAUCGAUGACUUCACUGGCCUCAGUGGUGCAGGACGAAACCCUUGGCAGAAAGCCUUGCAAAAGGUCUAGCUCUGAUGCUGUGUACGAUAGGAAGACUGGAAGGUUCCAGUUUGUAAAAGGAGCUAUUGCAGAUUCUAGGAAUCAUCCAGCCCUAUGCCUGACCUCUGUACUGGGAAAAAUAAUUGAGCAGGGUCAAAAAGCAUCCAAAGUAAAUGUCUGACAUGGUAGGGAUGAAUAAAUGCCGCUUUUUGUGAGGCUGAAUCAUGCCCCUCUAAUCAGUUGACUUUUCUGAACUAGUAAAACAGCUGAUCAAGAAAAAGAAGAGGGGAAUACAAUCAAUUUACACUUUCAAAAGGCUUUUUGAUAAACAGUCUAAAAGAAAAACAUGGUGACCAAGGGAUGAUAUCAGGACUAGAUACGGACAUUUAAGAAGCCUGAGGCAGAAUCAGUCUAAUUUAUAUGGUUUUCUGUAAGCAGCAUAGUUUAGAUUGGUAGCAAAUGGAACACCCAUUCGCCCUUUGGUGGAGGUGCAAAUCUUAGACAGGGUUCCACCAUUUUUAAACCGGUCUGUGUGCCAAACUUCUGUUCUGUUAUGGGUAGAGACUGGUUUCCAGUCCUUUAUACCGGGUAAAGAUGUAAUGUCUGUACCUGGCUGAGAAGUUCCAUCAUCGAUGAAAAACUUGAUCAGAGAGGAUAGGAAAAAAUAGAGUAGGAGUCUAGUGUAAUAAACUUAAUUCACCUAUGGGACACUUCACCACUCCAGUAAUUCACUGUUGUAAGCUAUUCUCUUUGCCAGGGAGAGGAAUUAUAAGAGAGACGCAUAGCAUAGCAUAGCAUAGUAGCUAGGGUCAGGAGGGACCUGGAUAGAUCAUCUAGCCUGACCCCCUGCCACAGGCAGGAAUGAAUGCUGGGUUCACAAGACCCCAGACAGGUGAUCAGCCAACCUCCUCUUGAAUUUGCCCAAGAUAGGGGCGAGGACCACUUCCCUGGGAAGUUGGUUCCAGAUUUUGGCCACCCUAACUAUAAAAUAUUGCCUCCUGAUCUCUAACCUAAACCUAUUCUCCAUCAGCUUAUUACCAUUGUUCCUUGUCACCCCAGGUGGUGCUGGGGAGAAAAUGGCUCUGCCUAUUCGCUGUUGAUCUCCCCUGAUGAGUUUGUAGGCAGCUACCAGGUCUCCCCUCAGCCUUCUCUUACUGAGGCUCAACAGGUUCAGGUCCUUCAGUCUCUCCUCGUAGGGCCUGUUCUGCUGCCCUCUCACCAAGCGGGUGGCCCUCCUCUGAACCCUCUCCAGGCUGGCCACAUCCCUUUUGAAGUCUGGCGCCCAGAACUGGAUGUAGUACUCCAACUGCGCCCUGACCAAAGUCACAUAGAGGGGGAGUAUCACCUCUCUCGACCAGCUUGAGAUGCAUCUUUGGAUGCAUGAUGAGGUAUGGCUGGCCUUGCUGGCUGUGGUCUGGCAUUGGCAGCUCAUGUUCAUCUUGGAGUCAAUAAUGACUCUAAGAUCCUGUUCCACCUCUGUGCUUUCAAGCAGUGAACUCCCCAGCCUGUAUGUAUGCCAUGGAUCCCUUCUCCCAAGGUGCAGCACCCUGCAUUUAUCUGCAUAGAACCCCAUCCUAUUCUCAUCUGCCCACUUUUGUAGUCUGUCUAUAUCUAGUUGCAGCCUCUCUCUCCCUUCAAGUGUAUCCACCUCGCCCCACAUCUUAGUGUCAUCAGCAAACUUGGACAGCGUGCUUUCCACCCCCUCGUCCAAGUUGCUGAUGAAGUUGUUAAACAAUGUGGGCCCAAGGACUGAGCCCUGGGGUACUCCACUGCUUACAUCUCGCCAGGUUGAGUACAACCCAUCCACCACUACUCUCUGGGUGCACCCCAUCAGCCAAUUUUUUACCCAUCCAACUGUGUAGGCAUCAAUGCCGCAGUCGCUUAAUUUAUUGAUGAGGAUGGGGUGGAGACAGUGUCAAAGGCAUUCUUAAAGUCUAGAAAGACUACGUCCACGGCGACACCAUCGUCCAAGGAUUUAGUUACUUGGCCAUAAAAGGCAAUCGUGUUGGUCAGGCAGGACCUGCCUUUGAUGAACCCAUGCUGAUUGCCCCUGAGCAUGAUCUCCCCUGCAGGCCCCCCACAGAUGUGCUCCUUGAUGAUUCUCUCCAAGAUCUUCCUGAGCACCGAGGUGAGGUUUACAGGCCUAUAGUUACUUGGGUCCUCCUUCCUCCCUUUUUUGAAAAUUGGGACCACAUUAGCCAGUUUCCAAUCCCCUGGCACCUGGCCAGAUGACCAUGAAUGCUCAUACAGCUGGGCCAAGGGCUCCGCGAUGACCCCUGCCAGCUCCCUGAACACCCUUGGGUGGAGGGCAUCUGGACCUUCAGAUUUAAAAAUGUCUAGCCCUUCCAGAAGAUCCCUAACUACAUCUGUACCGACUGAAGGCCUGACAGAGCUAUCCCCGAGAUUGUCCCUACCUCUGGUAGGUGGGAUAUCCGAGUCCCUGUUCAAGAAAACAGAGGCAAAGAAACUGUUAAAAAUAUCAGCUUUCUUGUCUGGCAUGGCCACCAGAUUACCAUUUGUGUCUUGCAGGGGCCCUACAUUGCCUGGUGCCCUUCUUGCUCCCAGUGUACUUGAAAAAGGACUUUUUGUUGCCCUUAAUCCUGGACGCUAGCCUGAGUUCCAUCUCUGCCUUGGCCUUCCUAAUAGCCCUCCUACACUCCCGGGCCGAGGAGGAGUACUCCUCCUUGGUGAUAGCUCCUCCCUUCCACUGGUUGUACGCCCUCCUUUUAGUCCUCAGGCACUCCCGAAUGCCCUUGCUGAGGGCAUAAAAUAACAAAUACCAUUAAUAAGGGUGUUUGGAUGCUUGUAUUUGUUUGGGUUGUACAAGAGGAAGUUAGCAAUUCUGAAGCACAUUGUGGAGGUGAAACAGAUGUUUGGGUUAAUAUUCUGUCUUUCAGCAUUGUUCCAGGUAACGUAUGAUCUUUUGAUGCAUUUGUAAUGGUUGCUGCACCUGCCUAACACAGUUACUGCAUUACCAGUGUGUAACUCCAUGCAUUAGGCUCGUAAGGCAUUUGUACUGCAUCCAUCACCCUAGUAUCUGAACUCCACAGAAUAGAAAAAAAGUAUUAUAUAGAGAAACAAUGUGUUCUCAGCUAAAAUCCAUAGAGAGAGAAAAAUAAAAGUAAUUUGAUUUGCUAUAGCCAGGGGUCUUGCCCAAAUUGAAGAGACAGCUUACUUAUUUUACAAGGAGACUGUAGGGCUGGCCGCCAUUUUCAUGGGCUGAUUGUACUGGGGUCCGCCCCCCGCUAAUUGGCAAGAGGUCCCGGUGGCCCUGUCCCUCACUGCUGAUUGGUUGCAAAGGCUGUCCAUCAUAUGAUCCUGCCCCUUUGCCACUGAUUCGUUAUGAGGGCGGUCUGUUGUGUGGCCCCACCCCUUGUCACCGAUUGGUGGAGAGGAGUGGGGCCGCACAAGAGGCAGCCCUCUCAGCCAAUCAGUGCUGAAGGAUGGGGGUGGCAGCCAUAUCAAGCCAUCUCUGGGGAGCUAGCAUUUUAUUUGUAGUAAGUUUUUCCCCCCCCCACACAGGUUUUGCGGACAUUGCCCAAUUUUAUGGGCAAUGCUGGAUUUUGUAAUUUCCGCAAAAAUCCACGAAAUCGCGAUUUCAGUAGGUCCUUAGCUAUAACCCCACUGUCUUCUUAAUUCAAUGAAGACACAUAAGAAAGAGAAAUGCUGAAUUUGUACAGAUCAGAGGGAAAUGGCCAAUGCACUUUAAAACAACAGCAAGCUGAGUGUGAAGAACGAGUACGGCAUCUGGGAUAAAGGAUUAUGCUGCUGCACCCAUCAGCUCUUGUGGCUGGUAUAGCUCCUGUCACUGCUCUGUGACAAAUGGAGCAAAUGUAGCCAGCAGAGUGCUUCAUUAAAAGUCAGUGGUUGGGAAAUGGACUUGUUUCCAUGUUUUCCUGGAAGUAAGUGGCAUGGCAGAAGAAUGAAAUCCUCCACACUGCUGUAUAUGACUGUUGCAAAGACUGUAGCUAUCAUACAUUCCAGAUGGUACAUGAAGGGGCCUGAAGACUGCUAGUUAAUGUCAUUCAGAGGUUUCAAGCAUACUUUGAUCCACCCGAGUAUGUCACUUGGGACAGGCUCUUUUUUUUUUUUAAACUAAAAGUUGGCUUCCAGGUGAAGCUAUUGUAUGGUACAGCCUGAUGUAAUAAAGGGUAAGUCACGUGAAUUUGAGGAAUGCAUAAAAGGAUUAAUGAGAAACUGGAUUAUUUGUGAAACAACUGAUCCGUAGGCCAAAUAAAAGGCAUAAUAAAUGGGAGAAGGGAAAAGAAAUAGUGCCAGGUUGUAUUUUGGCAAUGCUGGAGAAGUGCAUUGUUUCUUUCCCCACCGCAAAAAAAAUUCAGGGCAUCACAGCCAAGCUGCUGGGGGAUCAGUAUAUGGUAUUCUUCCCUCUUACUUGGUAAUGAAACAGUGUCAUGGAAAGAUGUGAGAGGUGGUAGGUUGCUGGAGCAGCAGACUUUUGGAUGAGAAAUAAGCCUGAUGUUCUGACUACCUGUCAGCAAAAGUCCUGGAGCCUUGGCUGAAUUUCUGCUUAGCUAAUUAUUAUCUGCUACCUAAAUUGCUUCAGAUGGACACAGGGUUCUUUACUGCCUUAAUCUGUUGUAUAGUUAUACUGGAUGCUUCAGCUCCUGCUCACAGACAGCUCUGUUUCAAUGGUAAAUCUGUUCUGCCAAGCAGAUGAGGAAAGACGCUGCAUAAAUGUAAAUUACAAGCUACCUGGAGAAUGCAGCUUGUGUUAUGCCGCUAUAAGGAAAGGAAGGGCAACUUUCAACAUUUUACUGAGAGACUCCAAAUAUAUACUAGUUCUAUUAAAGAUUAAGGUCCAGGAGUCAGGUGAUUAUGUGAGACUCACAUGUCUUUAAAAAAGCAAGUUUCUAGCUUUCAAUGUGGCAGAAAACUUGAAAUUGUGAUCCUUCUAGGAGACUCAGAAACCAAAAGGCAAAUACAAAAAGAACCCAGGUGUCUUAGUUUUCCAAUUCCAAUGCUUGUUAGGCUACUCCUGAUGUUUUGGGACCUGGCUCAUGUGUUUUUGAAUGUUUGGGCUUUAGCCAUGCUAAAAAGCAUGGAGUGGUAGCUUUCAAACCCUAGUUUGGAAAAUCCCAACUUGCUGCCUUGUAGAGAGCAAAGUAUCUCCUGGCAAGUGACUUACAUGGGUUCAGAGCUUAGUGUUCACAGCUGGACUCUAUGGAGGCUGUCUGUGAGAUAGGGAAAUACUUCCCUUUUAGCUCUCUCCCUCAAGCCUAGGCCAAGCUGACAGCAAGAGGAAACUGUUACCAUCUAGUGGCAUACAUGAAAUUAAAUUUUGGCCAAAGGGCAAAUUCAUUUCAUGAUGAACCUGUGUGCACGUAACCACUUCCCCAGUUGACAUCCUUCUUUCUCUGACUGCUGUCCUCACGGUCAGCCUUAGCCCUGAAGACUGAAAUUACAUGAUGCUUGAACUCCUGUGAGUCACUCAGGGGAAGUCUACACAGCUAUAGACCUUGCUAUAGAUAGUCUAUGAAUGUACAGCCUCUUUUUCCAGGCCUGUUGAUCCAGCAGCCUUCUUUACAGCUAAACUAAUUUAAAAAAUAAGAACAUCUGAGUCCAGAAGCCCGGUGCCCUUCACUUCCUUCCAAUCUGCCUCUUUCAGUAAGGCAGUAUGCCUGCUGCUUGUUACUGAUGCAUGCAGUCUGUGGAUAUUGUUAGCUCUUCAACUGCAUUUAAAUGGUCACAUAGCUUGAUGGAUGUGUGCUGCUCUUCACAAGUUCAGACAUGCCAGGAGCUGUGGAUCAAGAGAGACCUCUUGGUCACUUUUAAUGUCCUUGAUGGAUAAAGUAGAUAUGAGCUCCAGGCAUAGUGGUGAUAAAUGUAUCUGUUACAAAUGCACAUGGUUCCAAAAGAAGCCAGCACAGUGGUGAGUGCCACUCCAGUGGCUGAGGGACCGUUGCAUGGAUGAACGGAUGGUCUCUCAUGUGAAGCUGGUCAAACGAGUAGAGCUGUUACCAAAAGGAAGACUGCCAUGCUCAUCUAUAGUGAUAAGAAGCAGCAAUCAGCAAGGCAGCAGAAAUGGGAACCAAAAAAGAAACUGAGGCUAAAAACAGAUCUUGUAUUUCCCUGAGACAAAACCUUGUAUCCUGGGAUCCAUGAACAAGCCCAUCGUGCCAUGUUAAGUACCUGAGAAAUAUUGGAAUUAACACUUGCCCCCCAUGAUAGCUAAUAUGAGUGAAUUACCUUCCAGUCUGCGUGUUCUGUUUUUGGCCUGAAAUAAUAAAAAGAACUAUUCUGGACAACUGAGACACUUUGUAUAUGCCAGACCAAGCUGCUUUUCCUGAGGGAGCAGAAGCCCCAGACCCCACACCUAAAUCUGUUGUAGUAACAACACAGUAGAGCAGCAAUGAAGAUAUAUCUGGUUCAUAUGGUUUUGCUGAAUAAGAUUUCAGUUACAGUCGAAUUACAUUUGUGGAACACUUA
Molecule: long non-coding RNA, 15314 nt
Organism: Alligator mississippiensis (American alligator)
Lineage: Eukaryota; Metazoa; Chordata; Crocodylia; Alligatoridae
Exons: 3
Source: RefSeq, a predicted model, not a curated record